UCACUUCACAUUAAGAUGACAGGCCCUAUAUGCGGUGGUGCCGGACCUGUCCGGCUAUGGCGAUAAAUUGCGGUGUGCAAUAGGCACAGCGGACCCGGGGGCAGUACCCGGCGGCUCCACCACCUCUCCUGGUGUCACAGGGGAAAUGACGGGGCCGAACCAGGAUCGACGUGUGUUGAAAAGCAUUGUUUUUGCCCGGGCUGAGUAACCCGUUCAAGGCUCAAAACUCACAAGUGCCAAUGACAAUGAAGCACUUGCUCUCGCUGCGUAAUUCUAGGGGCUAACGCCCUGACUUUACAAAGCCAAGAGCACGGUUCGGACCGAACCGGGUAACAGAAUCGGAAACC
RNAcentral lists this transfer-messenger RNA (347 nucleotides) under Novosphingobium sp. It matches the Rfam family "Alphaproteobacteria transfer-messenger RNA". Rfam says of the family: Bacterial tmRNA, also known as 10Sa RNA or SsrA, is named for its dual tRNA and mRNA-like properties. Its role is to liberate the mRNA from a stalled ribosome. Lineage: Bacteria; Pseudomonadati; Pseudomonadota; Alphaproteobacteria; Sphingomonadales; Sphingomonadaceae. The record is from RNAcentral.